AACGAACGCUGGCGGCAUGCCUAACACAUGCAAGUCGAACGAGACCUUCGGGUCUAGUGGCGCACGGGUGCGUAACGCGUGGGAACCUGCCCUUAGGUUCGGAAUAACUCCCCGAAAGGGGUGCUAAUACCGGAUAAUGUCUUCGGACCAAAGAUUUAUCGCCUUUGGAUGGGCCCGCGUUGGAUUAGCUAGUUGGUAGGGUAAAAGCCUACCAAGGCGACGAUCCAUAGCUUGUCUGAGAGGAUGAUCAGCCACACUGGGACUGAGACACGGCCCAGACUCCUACGGGAGGCAGCAGUGGGGAAUAUUGGAAAGUGGGCGAAAGCCUGAUCCAGCAAUGCCGCGUGAGUGAUGAAGGCCUUAGGGUUGUAAAGCUCUUUUACCCGGGAUGAUAAUGACAGUACCGGGAGAAUAAGCUCCGGCUAACUCCGUG
This 433-nucleotide ribosomal RNA is filed under the name uncultured bacterium. RNAcentral describes it as "partial 16S ribosomal RNA". It matches the Rfam family "Bacterial small subunit ribosomal RNA", at positions 29 to 507 of the family's 1533-position model. The record is from RNAcentral.